Molecule: ribosomal RNA, 1388 nt
Filed under: Arthrospira sp.
Lineage: Bacteria; Bacillati; Cyanobacteriota; Cyanophyceae; Oscillatoriales; Microcoleaceae
Description: bacterial SSU rRNA
Rfam family: Bacterial small subunit ribosomal RNA
Source: RNAcentral
CGAUCGCGCUACCAUGCAGUCGACGGGCUCUUCUGAUCUAGUGGCGGACGGGUGAGUACACGUGAGAUCUGGCUCCCGGUCGGGGACAACAAAGGGAAACUUCUGCUAAUCCCGGAUGAGCCGAAAGGUAAAAGAUUUAUCGCCGGGAGAUGAGCUCGCGUCUGAUUAACUAGUUGGUGAGGUAAAGGCUCACCCAGGCGACCAUCAAUAGCUGGUCUGAUAGGAUGAUCAACCACACUGGGACUGACACACGGCCCACACUCCUACCGGAGGCAGCAGUGGGGAAUUUUCCUCAAUGGGCGCAAGCCUGACGGACCAAGACCGCGUGGGGGAGCCGAAGGACUCUUGGGUUGUAAACCCCUUUUCUCUCGUGAAUGAACAACAAUGACGGUACUUGAUGAAUAAGCCUCGGCUAACUCCUUGCCAGCCAGCCGCGGUAAUACGGAGGAGGCAAGCGUUAUCCGGAAUGAUUGGGCGUAAAGCGUCCGUAGGUGGCUGUUCAAGUCUGCUGUCGAAGACAGUGGCUUAACAUACUGAAAGGCAGUGGAAACUGAACAGCUAGAGUACGGUAGGGGCAGAGGGAAUUCCCGGUGUAGCGGUGAAAUGCGUAGAUAUCGUGAAGAACACCGGUGGCGAAAGCGCUCUGCUGGUCCGUAACUGACACUGAUGGACGAAAGCUACGGGAGCGAAUGGGAUUAGAUACCUCCAGUAGUCCUAGCCGUAAUCGAUGGAAACUACGUGUAGCCUGUAUCGACCCGGGCUGUGCCGAAGCUAACGCGUUAAGUUUCCCGCCUGGGGAGUACGCACGCAAGUGUGAAACUCAAAGGAAUUGACGGGGGCCCGCACAAGCGGUGGAGUAUGUGGUUUAAUUAGAUGCAACGCGAAGAACCUUACCAGGGCUUGACAUGUCCGGAAUCUUGGUGAAAGCCGAGAGUGCCUUCGGGAGCCGGAACACAGUGUGGUGCAUGGCUGUCGUCAGCUCGUGUCGUGAGAUGUUGGGUUAAGUCCCGCACACGAGCGCACACCCUCGUCCUUAGUUGCCAUCAUUCAGUUGGGCACUUUAGGGAGACUGCCGGUGACAAACCGGAGGAAGGUGGGGAUGACGUCAAGUCAUCAUGCCCCUUACGUCCUGGGCUACACACGUAGUACAAUGGGGGGGACAAAGGGUAGCCAAGACGCGAGUGUGAGCCAAUCCUGUAAACCUCUCCUCAGUUCAGAUUGCAGGGUGCAACUUGCCUGCAUGAAGGAGGAAUCGGUAGUAAUCGCAGGUCAGCAUAUUGCGGUGAAUCCGUUCCCGGGCCUUGUACACACCGCCCGUCACACCAUGGAAGUUAGCCACGCCCGAAGUCGUUACUCUAACCGUCGCGGAGGAGAUCCGAGAGCAUCAG